UUUUACGAACUUUGCAAUUUUUUCGAAAAAAUUUGUGUGGCGCCAGGCCGUUACUGCUACGUUAUGGCCAUUAUAGGCCUGUUUUCAUUACUCAGGAUUGUGACUAUGAUCGCGAUUUGAAACUAUGCUCUAGUCCCUACUCUCUCAAGCUUCCUUGCCAUAUUCACUACUUCACUCUCUCAUUCUCUAUCUUCACUUUUGACUUACCAUAUAUCAUUAUAUCUCAUCAAGUUUAGAUCUAUUGAGUUUUGUCUCAUCAAAUUUUAAAUUUUUGUUGAAGAAUUUGUAAACUAAAUUUUAGUUCAUUAGUUUCAAUUAUCUGGGUUUGUCAUUGAUUCAUUGUUCUACCAGGAUUUUCAAAUUGUAGUUGGUUCAAGCAUAGAUCUAUGAUGAUUUUUGAAUAAUUGGAUGUUUGAAUGUUUGUGUAUUCAUAUUUUUUUUCUAAUAUUAAGGUAUAUAUAUUUUGUUAUUUUUUAAAUGUGUUUCAGCAUUAAACAAGUUAAACGUGUCAAAUAGGUUAAACCUAUUGUGUCAUAUGAGAUUUAUAAUGACCCAUUUAAUUAAAAGGGUUAAGCAUAUUGUAUCAUGUUGUCUGACAUGUUAAAUGACCAAUUUAUUAAAAUAGGUUAUACGAGUUGUGUCGUGUAACUUGUGUCAUAAACAUAUUUGUGUUAAGGUUGAGCAUUUUGACACGAUUAAUUAAACAUGUCAUUUUGGAGUUAGCCACUUUUGUAUUACAUGUGUAAGUUGACACGACCUGUUUAUGACCUGCGAACACGAAUUGCUAACCCUAGUCUUGGCCAUUUCUCUUCUUCCAUUCUUCUUCCUUCUUAUUUGUUCUUUGCUUGAUUGAUUUACUGUUUAUUGCAUGGUUGUGCUGGCCCUUUUCUCUAUCAUACACAUUUGAAUAUUUAGGGGUCAUGUAGUAAUGUUGUGUGAAGAGUUAGGUUGCAACUCAAUUGCAUUCUGGUAGUUGCUAUUUUUCUUAUCUUUAGAUGUGGGUGUAGUUUCUAACUGCAAUUGUCUUGUGAUUUCUCUACUUUUUUGACUCUAUACAUUUGGAAAUCAUGAGCCAAAUUGCUUCAAUUUAUUGCUCUGUAUGUGAGUAUGCAUUUGCAUAUGUAGUAUAUACACCGAAAAUUGGUCCAUGCACCAUAUGGCUGUGUUUACAUGUACAUAUAUAAAUAUUUACUCUUUCUACACUCCUUUAUAUUAUAUUUGGAUGUUUUAAUAGACUUAUUUUUAAUAUCUUUGUCCUAUUGUUUGACAUGGCUUCCUCUCGUCUUUUUAUCAAGUUCAAUAUCUUUCAAAAGAGUCUCUUGUUUUCUUCUUGCAAGAUGGGAUUUGGAUGUUGAGAUAGAGGUUUAUAGGUUCAUAUUGAGUCUUUGUUGGGUCUACUCACAAUGUCUUUUUCUUUUUUUUUUCUUUUUCUUUUUUUACCUCCAUUAAACCUGAUGAUGCUUGUACAAUACCCAAGUUCAAUGGCAUACUCUUUGUGAUGUAGCAGUACCUUUUGAAUGAUCUAAGAAAAAGAACAAGGUAAAAGAAAAGUAGAGAAAAUGGAUUGAAUCUAACUUCACGCUAAAAGCUAGCUCAACGGAGAGGUUUGCCUAAAUUUUAUAUAUAGCACAAACACCUUAUCCCAAACUAAUGUGGGACAACAGGAGCAAUAUCCUCGCAUCCCAUUCCGUGGGAGCAUUAUGCUAAACAUAAUUCAAAAUCUCCUAAUAAUACAAAGGCAUUUCAUGGUUGUUCCACAAUCAAAUGACACUUCUCUUAAUUCUAAAUAUUAAUUCAUUAUCUACUAAACUUUGCUUAUAUAUCUCUGUAAUGUGCUACUGAUCUCAUCACUCGUUUAUUGUUUUCCUUUAUUCAUAACCUCUAACAGUCUAUCUCUCUUUCUAAACUUGCUAGUAAGCAUGAAUUAUAUCAGAAUAAGAAUAAGUAUUUAUAUAAUAAAAUCAAAUUGAAUCACAAUGAGGAAUCAAACUAUCAGACUAUAACAAUGAUAUCAGAAGUAAAUCACAGAUUUCAAGGGAUCAAAAAUCAAUUGAAAAGCAAAUUCAUUCUAUACAUUAUAAAUACCACUCACUUGAUACAAAACACAAAACAUGUUGGAAAAGAAGCACUAGUUAGCUAAGAUACUCCUGGGACCUAUAGACAAUUAUAAUUGGAGAUACAAGUUUAUAAACAAAGCUAGAAUACUAGAAUGCCAGUAAUAUGCCCAAAUAUAUAAAUUAAAUUUUCUAAAAAAAAAUUCUAAAGAAAAUUCGACAACAAUCUGAAUUAGACCGAACAUUUCCCCAAAUUUUACAAUGCUCAAAAGAGCCUCAACAAUAGCACCGCUACUCAGUUUAGUAAAAUGCCCAUCUGGAGCCUGCAACAAUUAUAUAUAAAUAACUUACCUCUAUCCUUUCUCUAUUUCAUACUUUUCCUUCCAUAUUUCUUUAAACAAAAGUUCUAGUUUAUAUCAAAUCAACUCUUCCAAACUAUAGUAGUAACAUCUUGAUUCUCAAUUCUAUAUUCAACAUCAAACUGGUAUUCAACUUCUCCUCAAGUUGUUAAUUCCUGUUUAAAAUUUCCUUUUCUUAAAAAUUUAUAGACAUAUAGCUUGAUUUGACAGUGGCAAGAAUAACAAUUUAUCUCUUUAAAUAUCCUUCCAUAUAAUUAAAUUCUCACUCCAUACAAUAAUGCCAACACAAUAAUACUUCAUUUACUCACUAACAAUUUAAUAUUUAUAGCCAAUUCAUCCUUUACAAUUAGAAUUUUAAGAGCAUAACUCAAAUUCCUUAUAAUUUAUUCACUUAUAAAAAAUAAAAAUCUUAGCAUCCAUAUAUUUGAGCUCAUUGCCACAACCAUUAUCUCAACUAGGUAUAUCCCAUAAAUAAAAUUAUUGCAAAAACUAUAACUUAUUACUAAGAUUUUAUCAUUUACUUCUCUUAUUGGGCAUCACCCCUAAUUUAUUCUUGUUUUAUCCCACACUUUAGCUAUUAAUUUCUUUAUAGGCAAUGUUACAUAUUUUCUAUGUCCAUAAUAUCUUCCAGACAUAUAGAAUUCAUAUUAAUUAGAACUAUAAAUUAACAAUCAAUCAAAUAAAACAAUCCAAAGUUACUUGUAUUGAACAUGAAAAAUACUUAUCAAUAUACAAAAAGGAUCUCUAGCAACUUUAAACAUUCAUAAGCAUGAUUUAGCCUAAAUAUUUGUAAAAUAUUAAUACAAAAUUCAUUUAAGGGAUCCUAAUCCAUAUAUAAACAUCAUUUAUAACCAAUAUAAAUCACAACUACACAAUUUAAAACCAUAAUUUACAAAGUUCCAUAUGAAAAGUAAGCAAUUUUCAUGAAAAUAAUUUAUAGAGCCCAAUUUACUUAAAAUUUCACCACACUCCAAGAAUUAAAGUUGCUAAGGA
RNAcentral lists this unclassified non-coding RNA (3406 nucleotides) under Hevea brasiliensis (rubber tree). The record is from RNAcentral. Lineage: Eukaryota; Viridiplantae; Streptophyta; Magnoliopsida; Malpighiales; Euphorbiaceae.